RNAcentral lists this long non-coding RNA (4769 nucleotides) under Sus scrofa (pig). RNAcentral's name for it is "lncRNA (ENSSSCG00055009940.1)". The record is from RNAcentral. Lineage: Eukaryota; Metazoa; Chordata; Mammalia; Artiodactyla; Suidae.
CUUUCCUGAAACCCCACUAAAAUAACAAAAAUUCAUUUUUAAAGGGCAUAAUCUCACAAAAACAGAGAGAGGAGGAGGGGUAAUGAUAGCAGACAAUUCUUGUCCACAAAGUAGUAGAAGCUGGAAAGCCAAUAACCUAGUGGUAAGUGACCUAGAUUUCAGCUUGCUCCGCUCUGCCUAAGUACCUGAAGCAGAAGAAAGCCAGCUAGAAACAAGGGGAGUCAUGAAACCCAGAACACCCCCAACAAUAGAAGAAGUGAAGGCUUCCAAAGGUGUUGGGUUUGCAAGUAGGGUCUCAAACAGUAGAAUCUGUUAAAAGUCUGAAUAAAGAGUUAACAGACAUUUUAGUUCACUCCCUCUGUCUAGGAAGGUAGGUGACUACACAGUGCAGAAGACAGGUGUCCCCCACUGAUAACAGAGACCUCCAUGAGCCUACCUUCUGAAGUGAGAUCGUUUAUUCCCCUUCCCACACUGGGCCCUGAGAGAGCUGACUGUCAGGCUCGCACUCCAUCAUGCAAGAUAGUGAAGAAAUCCUCUGGGGAAACUCUCGAGCUCUAUAAAUAUGGACAGGCAGGGGUCUCAGCCAGACAGCUGGCUCCUGCAUGAUGGCUCCACAAUGAAGCCUGACACCAGGAGAGCUUUGCAUGAAAGCAGAGCUUCAAACCAACAUUUUAGUAUCCCCAAUCUAAUUUAUUUUUAAAUAACCUUCGUUAAAAUUUCCAGAUCAGAUCAAAGACAUCCUGUGUUUCUUUUAUGCAGAUUUCCCAAAUGUUAACAUUUUACUGAAUAUUCAUGAUUGCCGGCUCUGUCUCACUCUUUCCGUGUGUGUGUGUGUGUGUGUGUGUGUGUGUAGGGAAGUAAGGUACUCAUUAUCAUUUACCUUUAAAAAGAAAGCUUCAGGGGAGUUACCGUCAUGGUGCAGCAGAAACUAAUCCAACUAGGAAACAUGAGGGUACGGGUUUGACCCCUGGCCUUGCUCAGUGGGUUAAGGAUCUGGAGUUACCGUGAGCUGUGGUAUAGGUCACAAAUGCAGCUCGGACCUGGCAUUUCUGUGGCUCUGGUGUAGGUCAGCAGCUACAGCUCCAAUUAGACCCCUAGCCUGGGAACCUCAUAUGCUGUGGGUGCGGCCCUAAAAAGACAUACAUACAUACAUACAUAAAAAGAAAGCUUCAGGAGUUCCCACUGUGGCACAGUGGGUUAAGAAUCCAACUACAGUGGCCUGGGUGACUGCAGAGCCACAGGUUUGACCUCCAGCCCUGCACAGUGGAUUAAGGAUCCAGUGUUGCCACAGCUGCAGUCAGUAUAGGUCACGACUGUGGCUCAGAUUCGAUCUCUAGCCCAGGAACUUCCAUAUACCACGGGUGCAGCCAUAAAAUAAAAAUUUUUUUAAAAAAAAAGAAAGCUUCAGACAUGACCUCCUAUCACCCAUAAAUAAUCUAGUGUAAAUUUCCCCCAAACAAGGACACUCACCCAUUCAAAUUUUGCCAACUGUCCAAAACUACCUCUUUUUUUCUUUCCAAUUCAGGGCUGUGCCAAGGAAUAUGUAUUUAAGUUAAUUCAUACAAGUUUCUUCAGAUCCUUUCAACUUAAAACAGAAUUUCUCAGUCUUUGCAGUCCUUAUCAAUUUUGAAAGAGUACGGGUGUCACAAUCUCUAGGGCGAUGCUUACAAGAAGUCUCAGGACCAGGUCAUGUGUCUUUCACAGGAAGGAAUACCAUGGAAAUCAGGGUGUGCUUUUCUCAGAAAAUCCCAGCAGGCUUUUCAAAGUUGGCAAAGAAAGAACAAAAACAAAAGUAUGUAUUGGGAGUUCCCAUCGUAGCACAGUGGAAAUGAAUCUGACUAGGAACCAUGAGGUUGCAGGUUCGAUCCCUGGCCUCACUCAGUGGGUUAAGGAUCUGGUGGUACCGUGAGCUGUGGUGUAGGUCGCAGAUGUGGCUCAGAUCUGGCAUUGUUGUGGCUGUGGUAUAGACCAGCAGCUACAGCUCUUAUUAGACCCCUAGCCUGGGAACCUCCACAUGCAGCAGGUGCAGCCUUAAAAAGACAGGGGAAAAAAAAAAAAAGAAAAAAAAAAAGCAUGUAUUAAAUCUGAGUAAUUUCUAAAACUGAAGCAAGAAAAUGAAACCAGAGUUGAAUACUAUAAAGAAAUGGGAUAAGACAGAGGCUCUCCCCUACCUGCAAGCUAACAAAUCACACACCAGUUUCAUAGACGUCAACAAGACACGAGACUCCUGGAUCAGAGGCAAAGAAUUAUUACUCACAGAACAGCAUGAGCUUCCUAGUCCCUCUGGUCCCCUUGCCAUUCAAGGUCCAAGGGGGUGACAAAGAGUGGCGUGAAUAAAUGCUGCAAUGCAGUGCGUUUCUAUCACAACUGAGAAACUCUGACUUGGGGGAAUCCCAGUCUUUUAUCAUGGACUGAAAGCAAACAUACAUGACCUUUUCCCCAGAAAAGACAUCAUCAUGGCGGACAGCACACAAACCUGUCCUCUGUGCCCGAGGGAGAUGCCAGUGCUGUCUUCCAAGGCUGUUCACUCUUUCUACAUCCCUGAAAUGAUCUUCUCAAACAAAAGCUGUCGGUGCCUCUGCUCAUGAGGUGUGUAGAAAUGCAAAAGCCCAUGGAGAAAAACCCGUAGCCUAUCUCUUCGUGGCUCAUCUCUCAAAACAGUUACAAAAUCGUAAUGGAGGUAACACUGGAUGUUGACCUAACCCAUGAUCAUGACCUAAACAUGUCAAGAAUGGCGAGAAAUGGAAGAGUAAGUUGAGGAGAGCCGAAUGAAACAAAAGACAACAAAUCAUAAUACCCUACAGUGGAAAUAAUUAAAUAACAUCUGGAGUUCCCAUCGUGGCUCAGCGGGUUAAGAACCUCACUAAUGUCCAUGAGGAUGUGGGUUCAAUUCCUGGCCUAAAUCAGUGGGUUAAGAAUUCAGCAUUGUUACAAACUGUGGUGUAGGUCAUGGAUGCAGGCUGAAUCUGCCUGUGGUGUAGGCAAACAGCUGUAGCUCCAAUCUGACCCCUAGCCUGGGAACUUCCAUAUGCUGUGGGUGCAGCCCUAAAAAGCAAAUAAAUAAAAUAUGUAUGUAAUUAUUUUCAUAAAAAUUAAAAUAUAAUUUAAAAAGAAAGAUUUUGGGGCACAAGAGCUUUAUUAUAAAUAUUAGUUCAUGGUUUGAAGCAAUUUAAUCUGCCCCAACUAUCUCUAAGGACCUAAUAGGAAUAUGGGCACCUCAUUUUUUGAGAAAGUGACAUUUAAGGGUAUGAAACUGGUCCCCUUAGCUUAACUAGAUAUUCUCUGAAGGUUUAUAGACUAAGCCCCCAGACCUUGUAGGGAAGAGUGGACUUCCACUAGCACUCUUUGGGCUCAAUGCUUAUGUGCCCUCUUCAAAGAAUAUGGGAAAGAGAAAACAACCUCAUUGCUGGUGUGAUGCCCACUAUAAUCUCUCCCAGCUGCUCUGGGCUGUAUUCACAACAAAGGAAACUUGACUCUGCACAGCCCUUCAGGCUGGUAACCACUCUCUGGAGCUAUUCAUCUAGGCCAGACCCUGUAGAUGGGAACAGGGGUGGGGGUGGGGUAGAAAAACGGCAGUGGCUAAAGAUGGAAGCUAAUAUGUUGGAAGUUUAUAGAGUCAAGAGUUUUGCUAUCUCAAUCUUUUUUUUGUUUUUGUCCUUUUAGGGCUGCACCCAUGGCAUAUGUAGGUUUCCAGGCUAGGGGUCAAAUCGGAGCUAUAGCCUCUGGCCUAUGCCACAGCCUCAGCCAUGCCAAACCCAAGCCUCAGCUGAGACCUACACCAUAGCUCACGUCAACACUGGAUCCUUAACUCACUGAGUAAGGUCAGGGAUCAAACCUUAACCCACUGAGUAAGGUCAGGGAUCAAACCUGUGUCCUCAUGGUUACCUGUCAGAUUUGUUUCUGCUGAGUCAUGACAGAAACUCCUCAAAUCUUUUCUUCCACAUAUAGGUCAUUGUACUAAAAAAAUCAAAAAUUAUGCAAGAAUAUAAAGUAGAAAGUGGAAGCUCCGGGGCCCAGGAAUAGGAAGGAAUGAAUCAAGAAAGAGGAAGACAGAGAAUGCAGGGAAAGGGCUGACAGGACUCCACCAGAUGACACAGAGAUUCCAGAAUGACAGUUGUGUACCAGCACAGAUAACUACCAGUUCCAACUCCAACUGGUAAAAAGGCUCUAGAAUAAACUUCCUCAGGUACAAUGCAAUGUCUAGAAUAACAUAUAUAAUUAGCAAAGACGUGUGUUAAAUGGUUUCCAAACUGGGGCAUGCAGACAGUGAGAGCAAACAUUAUUAUACUAGGAUGAUGGUCAAAGGGGUAUGAAGAAAAGAAUAUGCAAGAAGGAAAAGGCCAUCAUAAUUUACUACAUGGCAAACCUAUGAAUAUUUCUCAUAGUAAUGUGAAUACCUAGUACUAAUCCAAACAAAAUUACAAUAUGGCUGUGUGGAAAGAUGAGUUCAUGGAAAAGGUGCACAGGUGAGGUGGGAAUUAGGGGAAGAAAGGAAGUAAAUCCUUAUCCUCUACAGUGAGAAACUGAUAGAUAACACAUUAAGCUGAAAAAUAAAGAGGUAUCAGAACAAGCAUGUUAUUUAGAGAGAAAGAGGUAAGCUCAAAAUUUAGAAAUUAAAAUAGGUGGAUAUAGUUUCCUCUUGGGUAAAAAAAAAAAUGGGCAAAGAAGAAACAGGGGAUUGAUGUUUUUUGUGAUUACUUGACUCUUUAUACUUUAUACAUUUAUGUCUUUGAUAUAAGCAAAAAUUAAAAAAAAAAAAGAAAGAAAAG